This 253-nucleotide ribosomal RNA is filed under the name uncultured bacterium. RNAcentral's name for it is "partial 16S ribosomal RNA". It matches the Rfam family "Bacterial small subunit ribosomal RNA", at positions 524 to 776 of the family's 1533-position model. The record is from RNAcentral.
UACGUAGGGUGCAGGCGUUAAUCGGAAUUACUGGGCGUAAAGCGUGCGCAGGCGGUUUCUUAAGUCAGAUGUGAAAGCCCCGGGCUUAACCUGGGAACUGCGUUUGAAACUGGGAGACUUGAGUGUGGCAGAGGGGGGUGGAAUUCCACGUGUAGCAGUGAAAUGCGUAGAUAUGUGGAGGAACACCGAUGGCGAAGGCAGGUCUCUGGGCAUUAACUGACGCUGAGGAGCGAAAGCAUGGGGAGCGAACAGG